Long non-coding RNA from Lates calcarifer (barramundi perch), 1405 nucleotides. RefSeq lists it as uncharacterized. Lineage: Eukaryota; Metazoa; Chordata; Actinopteri; Centropomidae. The transcript is spliced from 4 exons. The record is from RefSeq and is a predicted model, not a curated record.
UCAUCCUGACCUAGUUGUGUGGUGUAUUUCAACAUAUUUCCUAAAACUGAAGUUCAUGAAAGAGUUUGCAUGUUUUAGCCUACUUUGAUAUGGUUUGUGUUUGAGAUGAUUCACCUGGGCUGACAGCCAGAAAUGUGCGUGUGUACAAUUCAUCAUACUGUUUGCCAUCAACCAUCUUCCUGUCAGUCUCCUCUGGUGUGUUGUACAGCUACAGCAAACACAGACAAUGAACAAACAGCUCCUUGCAGGUCAUUUUAAUGUAGUUUUACCCUCUUCAGACAAUAAAUUAAACUUUUCUGAUGUGGUUGCUUUAAUUCGGUUCUAUAUAUACAAUGUGUCCCACAGCCCUUAUAAAGAUUGCUCUAUUUAAGCCAAGAUUCAACCUCCAAGAACAUUCUGUCACCUCAGUUUAUUCCAGGAUUUCUGUAAACACUAAUGGAGUCCUGGCAGUCAUGUUUUCCAUAUUUGCUCUUUUCAUGUUGGAAAACAACCUGAAAGGACUUCAUCGUGACCACAAAUCGAUAUUAUUUCUUAUACCCAAUUCUAUUAACAUUAUUUAUACCUGAAUUCAUACAAGGUGGGUAAAGUGGGGGAUUGUUUUCUCUGUUGCAAUGACUGAAGCCAUUUGUAGGGCUUCCCUCCUGACACUGAUGACGUGGUAGCAAUCGAAUUGAACGUGCUUAUACAUCCGAACGUGUACGUCACCGCGUUAACGCGAAGCAAUGCGUGAGCACGUCCGAACGUCCUGUGGCGUGGUUAGCUACUCUGGCUAACGAUUAGUCUUCAGCUGGGUGCAAGUUGCCUCGAGGGAAUUGUAACUUAAUCUAAUUUAUGUCAGCACCGUGACACACUGACGCCCCCCAAACAAUCAUGGAAAAUAGAUUAAAACCGAAAACCUAAUUACCGAAGUAGCUAAAACAAGCUUUGAAGCUAAUCUUCUGUCGAGCACGAGUGAGGCUGGACGCUGAACACACCUGCGGCGCGAAGGUGUCACCACUUCGUCCACGACGUCGUCCACGAUCGGCGAGCCGUCUUCGUACAAUGAAGAAGUUCUUUGAGACCAGGACGGAGGCCUCCAGAAGUCACAAUCGCAGAGACCCAUUAAAGAUGAGAGACGUUGUCCAUGAUGUCGUCCACAAACGGAGUUGGGACCAGGACAGAGACCUCCAGGAGGAGAAGACGACAGCAGCUGAGGACCUGAAGUGGAUGAAAGAAAACAAGUGUUGAGAAGCUGAAGAAGACCUCCACCAUCUGACUGCUGUAAACACUGCUGGUUUCCUGUUAAAGUGAAAACACUUUGUUUUUCCCUCCACCGUCUGUAAUGUAGUCCAGUGACCACAAGGAAGCACUUGUUAGAGCUGGUUAGGGUUAAUAGUUAUGAGCACAUUUUCCACAGACUAAUGUC